UGUGGGGUUCGGUGGCCGGU
Molecule: microRNA, 20 nt
Filed under: Sus scrofa (pig)
Lineage: Eukaryota; Metazoa; Chordata; Mammalia; Artiodactyla; Suidae
Description: ssc-mir250
Source: RNAcentral